CAAUAGCGUAUAUUAAAGUUGUUGCAGUUAAAAAGCUCGUAGUUGGAUUUCUGGCGGGAGUCCGGGUCGGCCUUAACGGGUUGUACUGUUGUGACGUCUCGCCGUUUCGAGGGGAAUGGGCUCGCUAUUAGGUUAGUGUGCUCGGGAACCUCGUCGUUUACUGUGAAAAAAUUAGAGUGUUCAAAGCAGGCCUUUGCUGUGAAUACAUUAGCAUGGAAUAAUAAGAUAGGACUGUAGUGCUAUUUUGUUGGUUUGCGUACUAUGGUAAUGAUUAAUAGGGAUAGUUGGGGGUAUUCAUAUUCAAUUGUCAGAGGUGAAAUUCUUGGAUUUAUGGAAGAUGAACUACUGCGAAAGCAUUUACCAAGGAUGUUUUCAUUA
RNAcentral lists this ribosomal RNA (378 nucleotides) under uncultured eukaryote. Its description in RNAcentral is "partial 18S ribosomal RNA". It matches the Rfam family "Eukaryotic small subunit ribosomal RNA", at positions 592 to 975 of the family's 1831-position model. The record is from RNAcentral.